RNAcentral lists this ribosomal RNA (388 nucleotides) under uncultured eukaryote. Its description in RNAcentral is "partial 18S ribosomal RNA". It matches the Rfam family "Eukaryotic small subunit ribosomal RNA", at positions 592 to 976 of the family's 1831-position model. The record is from RNAcentral.
CAAUAGCGUAUAUUAAAGUUGUUGCGGUUAAAAAGCUCGUAGUUGGAUUUCUGAUCGAGACAUCAGGUCGGGUCCGAGAGGAUCAUGUACUUUGAUUUUGUUUUGAUCAUCCUUGGGGAGAGCAUUUCUGGCAUUCAGUUGUCGGGAUUGGGAUCCUCAUCGUUUACUGUGAAAAAAUUAGAGUGUUCAAAGCAGGCCUCGGCCUCUGAAUACAUUAGCAUGGAAUAAUAAGAUAGGACUUUGGUGGUCUAUUUUGUUGGUUUGCACGCCAAAGUAAUGAUUAAUAGGGAUAGUUGGGGGUAUUCGUAUUCAAUUGUCAGAGGUGAAAUUCUUGGAUUUAUGGAAGACGAACUACUGCGAAAGCAUUUACCAAGGAUGCUUUCAUUAA